UGGAAGCAUAGCUCAGCUGGCUAGAGCGACACGUUGACAUCGUGUAGGGCACUGGUUCAACUCCAGUUGUUUCCAU
RNAcentral lists this transfer RNA (76 nucleotides) under Cyanophora sudae. Its description in RNAcentral is "tRNA-Val". It matches the Rfam family "tRNA". From Rfam's summary of the family: Transfer RNA (tRNA) molecules are approximately 80 nucleotides in length. Lineage: Eukaryota; Glaucocystophyceae; Cyanophorales; Cyanophoraceae. The record is from RNAcentral.